AUUGAACGCUGGCGGCAGGCCUAACACAUGCAAGUCGAGCGGAUGAAGGGAGCUUGCUCCUGGAUUCAGCGGCGGACGGGUGAGUAAUGCCUAGGAAUCUGCCUGGUAGUGGGGGAUAACGUCCGGAAACGGGCGCUAAUACCGCAUACGUCCUGAGGGAGAAAGUGGGGGAUCUUCGGACCUCACGCUAUCAGAUGAGCCUAGGUCGGGUUAGCUAGUUGGUGGGGUAAAGGCCUACCAAGGCGACGAUCCGUAACUGGUCUGAGAGGAUGAUCAGUCACACUGGAACUGAGACACGGUCCAGACUCCUACGGGAGGCAGCAGUGGGGAAUAUCGGACAAUGGGCGAAAGCCUGAUCCAGCCAUGCCGCGUGUGUGAAGAAGGUCUUCGGAUUGUAAAGCACUUUAAGUUGGGAGGAAGGGCAGUAAGUUAAUACCUUGCUGUUUUGACGUUACCAACAGAAUAAGCACCGGCUAACUUCGUG
RNAcentral lists this ribosomal RNA (484 nucleotides) under uncultured bacterium. Its description in RNAcentral is "partial 16S ribosomal RNA". It matches the Rfam family "Bacterial small subunit ribosomal RNA", at positions 30 to 507 of the family's 1533-position model. The record is from RNAcentral.